RNAcentral lists this ribosomal RNA (499 nucleotides) under uncultured bacterium. RNAcentral describes it as "bacterial SSU rRNA". It matches the Rfam family "Bacterial small subunit ribosomal RNA", at positions 29 to 524 of the family's 1533-position model. The record is from RNAcentral.
AUUGAACGCUGGCGGAAUGCUUUACACAUGCAAGUCGAGCGGCAGCGCGGGGCAACCUGGCGGCGAGCGGCGAACGGGUGAGUAACACAUCGGAACGUGCCCAGACGUGGGGGAUAGCCCGGCGAAAGCCGGAUUAAUACCGCAUACGAUCUAAGGAUGAAAGCGGGGGACUCGCAAGGGCCUCGCGCGUUUGGAGCGGCCGAUGGCAGAUUAGGUAGUUGGUGGGGUAAAGGCUUACCAAGCCUGCGAUCUGUAGCUGGUCUGAGAGGAUGAUCAGCCACACUGGGACUGAGACACGGCCCAGACUCCUACGGGAGGCAGCAGUGGGGAAUUUUGGACAAUGGGCGCAAGCCUGAUCCAGCCAUUCCGCGUGCAGGACGAAGGCCUUCGGUUGUAACUGUCUUUGUACGGAACGAAAGGUACUUCUCUAAUACAGAGGCCCAUGACGGUACCGUAAGAAUAAGACACCGGCUAACUACGUGCCAGCAGCCGCGGUAAC